This 253-nucleotide ribosomal RNA is filed under the name uncultured bacterium. RNAcentral's name for it is "partial 16S ribosomal RNA". It matches the Rfam family "Bacterial small subunit ribosomal RNA", at positions 524 to 776 of the family's 1533-position model. The record is from RNAcentral.
UACGGAGGGGGCUAGCGUUGUCCGAAGUUACUGGGCGUAAAGCGCGCGUAGGCGGGUUGGUAAGUCCGCUGUGAAAGCCCGGAGCUUAACUCCGGAGGGUCGGUGGAUACUGCCAGUCUUGAAGGUGCUAGGGGGAGAUGGAAUUACCGGUGUAGCGGUGAAAUGCGUAGAUAUUGGGAGGAACACCGGUGGCGAAGGCGGCGUUCUGGACUGCAACUGACACUGAGAGACGAAAGCCAGGGGAGCAAACGGG